GUUGAGUACUCAGAAUUUUUGGGUACGAUGAUUUACAUCUGAAUAGGAAGAUCUGAU
This 57-nucleotide small nucleolar RNA is filed under the name Olea europaea subsp. europaea. The record is from RNAcentral. Lineage: Eukaryota; Viridiplantae; Streptophyta; Magnoliopsida; Lamiales; Oleaceae.